CCUACGGGAGGCAGCAGUGGGGAAUAUUGGACAAUGGGCGAAAGCCUGAUCCAGCCAUGCCGCGUGUGUGAAGAAGGCCUUCGGGUUGUAAAGCACUUUCAGUGGGGAAGAAAGCCUUGGGGCUAAUACCCUCGAGGAAGGACAUCACCCACAGAAGAAGCACCGGCUAACUCCGUGCCAGCAGCCGCGGUAAUACGGAGGGUGCGAGCGUUAAUCGGAAUUACUGGGCGUAAAGCGCGCGUAGGCGGUCUGAUAAGCCGGUUGUGAAAGCCCCGGGCUCAACCUGGGAACGGCAUCCGGAACUGUCAGGCUAGAGUGCAGGAGAGGAAGGUAGAAUUCCCGGUGUAGCGGUGAAAUGCGUAGAGAUCGGGAGGAAUACCAGUGGCGAAGGCGGCCUUCUGGACUGACACUGACGCUGAGGUGCGAAAGCGUGGGUAGCAAACAGGAUUAGCUACCCCAGUAGUC
This 465-nucleotide ribosomal RNA is filed under the name Vreelandella stevensii. Its description in RNAcentral is "partial 16S ribosomal RNA". It matches the Rfam family "Bacterial small subunit ribosomal RNA", at positions 338 to 795 of the family's 1533-position model. The record is from RNAcentral. Lineage: Bacteria; Pseudomonadati; Pseudomonadota; Gammaproteobacteria; Oceanospirillales; Halomonadaceae.